UCGAUAUUAGGGUUUUAUAAGAAACAAGUGAGAGAAGUAAGAGAAACCUGGCUGUAAAACUUUAGGAUUAAUGGUGUUUAUAGCACCAUCAAACCGAAACCCAUCAGAGAAAGGCCAGAAACAACCCAUGCAAAGCUUCAGUGAUUGUCUUGUAUGGUGGAGACUCAUUGGGUCUCAAGGACGGUGGCAGGAGAGAUGGUGAAGGACAUCGGAGAAGAGGAACCAGAAGGUUCUAGAGAGAAGGAUGAGAGGAAGAGAUAUAUGGAGAGAGAGAGAGAGAGAGAGAGAG
RNAcentral lists this long non-coding RNA (289 nucleotides) under Nicotiana benthamiana. Its description in RNAcentral is "long non-coding RNA (NBEN_LNC016029)". The record is from RNAcentral. Lineage: Eukaryota; Viridiplantae; Streptophyta; Magnoliopsida; Solanales; Solanaceae.